AUUGAACGCUGGCGGCAUGCCUUACACAUGCAAGUCGAACGGUAACAGGUCUUCGGACGCUGACGAGUGGCGCACGGGUGAGUAAUACAUCGGAACGUGCCCGAUCGUGGGGGAUAACGAGGCGAAAGCUUUGCUAAUACCGCAUACGAUCUACGGAUGAAAGCGGGGGAUCUUCGGACCUCGCGCGGACGGAGCGGCCGAUGGCAGAUUAGGUAGUUGGUGGGAUAAAAGCUUACCAAGCCGACGAUCUGUAGCUGGUCUGGGAGGAUGAUCAGCCACACUGGGACUGAGACACGGCCCAGACUCCUACGGGAGGCAGCAGUGGGGAAUUUUGGACAAUGGGCGAAAGCCUGAUCCAGCCAUGCCGCGUGCAGGAUGAAGGCCUUCGGGUUGUAAACUGCUUUUGUACGGAACGAAAAGCCUCUUUCUAAUAAAGAGGGGUCAUGACGGUACCGUAAGAAUAAGCACCGGCUAACUACGUG
RNAcentral lists this ribosomal RNA (482 nucleotides) under uncultured bacterium. Its description in RNAcentral is "partial 16S ribosomal RNA". It matches the Rfam family "Bacterial small subunit ribosomal RNA", at positions 30 to 507 of the family's 1533-position model. The record is from RNAcentral.